RNAcentral lists this transfer RNA (69 nucleotides) under Ovis aries (sheep). It matches the Rfam family "tRNA". Rfam says of the family: Transfer RNA (tRNA) molecules are approximately 80 nucleotides in length. The record is from Rfam by way of RNAcentral. Lineage: Eukaryota; Metazoa; Chordata; Mammalia; Artiodactyla; Bovidae.
CCUGGUGGCUCAGAGGUUAAAGCAUCUGCCUGCAAUGCAGGAGUGCUGGGUUUGAUCCCUGGGUCAGGA